Molecule: ribosomal RNA, 584 nt
Filed under: uncultured bacterium
Lineage: Bacteria
Description: bacterial SSU rRNA
Rfam family: Bacterial small subunit ribosomal RNA
Source: RNAcentral
AGAGUUUGAUCCUGGCUCAGAACGAACGCUGGCGGCAGGCCUAACACAUGCAAGUCGAGCGAUCCCUUCGGGGAUAGCGGCGGACGGGUUAGUAACGCGUGGGAACGUACCCUUUUCUACGGAAUAGCCAUUGGAAACGAUGAUUAAUACCGUAUACGCCCUUCGGGGGAAAGAUUUAUCGGAGAAGGAUCGGCCCGCGUUAGAUUAGGUAGUUGGUGGGGUAAUGGCCUACCAAGCCUACGAUCUAUAGCUGGUUUGAGAGGAUGAUCAGCCACAUUGGGACUGAGACACGGCCCAGACUCCUACGGGAGGCAGCAGUGGGGAAUCUUGGACAAUGGGGGCAACCCUGAUCCAGCCAUGCCGCGUGAGUGAAGAAGGCCUUAGGGUCGUAAAACUCUUUCGCCAGGGAAGAUAAUGACGGUACCUGGUAAAGAAACCCCGGCUAACUCCGUGCCAGCAGCCGCGGUAAUACGGAGGGGGUUAGCGUUGUUCGGAAUUACUGGGCGUAAAGCGCACGUAGGCGGACUGAUCAGUCAGGGGUGAAAUCCCGGGGCUCAACCCCGGAACUGCCUUUGAUACUUGUC